RNAcentral lists this transfer RNA (100 nucleotides) under Betaproteobacteria bacterium. Its description in RNAcentral is "tRNA-Thr". The record is from RNAcentral. Lineage: Bacteria; Pseudomonadati; Pseudomonadota; Betaproteobacteria.
CGGUGCUCCUGGCCGUCAGGACCCCGCGGCCUCGCGCUCGUGGCGCGUGCCGGCGGUGCGCUGGUCGUCCGGAUCGUGGUACCAGUCGCGGUGCGGCGAC